GACGAACGCUGGCGGCGUGCUUAACACAUGCGAGUCGAACGGAAAGGCCCUGCUUGCAGGGUACUCGAGUGGCGAACGGGUGAGUAACACGUGGGUGAUCUGCCCUGCACUUCGGGAUAAGCCUGGGAAACUGGGUCUAAUACCGGAUAGGAGCCAUUUUUAGUGUGAUGGUUGGAAAGUUUUUUCGGUGUAGGAUGAGCUCGCGGCCUAUCAGCUUGUUGGUGGGGUAAUGGCCUACCAAGGCGGCGACGGGUAGCCGGCCUGAGAGGGUGGACGGCCACAUUGGGACUGAGAUACGGCCCAGACUCCUACGGGAGGCAGCAGGGGGGAAUAUUGCACAAUGGGCGCAAGCCUGAUGCAGCGACGCCGCGUGGGGGAUGACGGCCUUCGGGUUGUAAACUCCUUUCGCUAGGGACGAAGCUUUUUGUGACGGUACCUAGAUAAGAAGCACCGGCUAACUACGUG
Molecule: ribosomal RNA, 465 nt
Filed under: uncultured bacterium
Lineage: Bacteria
Description: partial 16S ribosomal RNA
Rfam family: Bacterial small subunit ribosomal RNA
Source: RNAcentral